Molecule: ribosomal RNA, 448 nt
Filed under: uncultured bacterium
Lineage: Bacteria
Description: partial 16S ribosomal RNA
Rfam family: Bacterial small subunit ribosomal RNA
Source: RNAcentral
CGCCAGACUCCUACGGGAGGCAGCAGUGGGGAAUAUUGCACAAUGGGGGAAACCCUGAUGCAGCGACGCCGCGUGAAGGAAGAAGUAUUUCGGUAUGUAAACUUCUAUCAGCAGGGAAGAAAAUGACGGUACCUGACUAAGAAGCCCCGGCUAACUACGUGCCAGCAGCCGCGGUAAUACGUAGGGGGCAAGCGUUAUCCGGAUUUACUGGGUGUAAAGGGAGCGUAGGCGGUAAUGCAAGUCAGAAGUGAAAGCCCGGGGCUCAACCUGUGGCCUGCAUUUGAAACUGUUUUUCUUGAGUACUGGAGAGGCAGACGGAAUUCCUAGUGUAGCGGUGAAAUGCGUAGAUAUUAGGAGGAACACCGGUGGCGAAGGCGGCCUGCUGGACUGUAACUGACGUUGAGGCUCGAAAGCGUGGGGAGCAAACAGGAUUAGAUACCCGAGUACG